AAAUUGAAGAGUUUGAUCAUGGCUCAGAUUGAACGCUGGCGGCAGGCCUAACACAUGCAAGUCGAGCGGAAACGAGUUAACUGAACCUUCGGGGAACGUUAACGGCGUCGAGCGGCGGACGGGUGAGUAAUGCCUGGGAAAUUGCCCUGAUGUGGGGGAUAACCAUUGGAAACGAUGGCUAAUACCGCAUAAUAGCUUCGGCUCAAAGAGGGGGACCUUCGGGCCUCUCGCGUCAGGAUAUGCCCAGGUGGGAUUAGCUAGUUGGUGAGGUAAUGG
RNAcentral lists this non-coding RNA (276 nucleotides) under Vibrio proteolyticus NBRC 13287. Its description in RNAcentral is "Bacterial small subunit ribosomal RNA". It matches the Rfam family "Bacterial small subunit ribosomal RNA", at positions 1 to 263 of the family's 1533-position model. Lineage: Bacteria; Pseudomonadati; Pseudomonadota; Gammaproteobacteria; Vibrionales; Vibrionaceae. The record is from Rfam by way of RNAcentral.